AAUCAACGCUGGCGGCGUGCCUAACACAUGCAAGUCGAACGCGAAAGCCCCGCAAGGGGUCAGUAGAGUGGCAAACGGGUGAGUAACACGUGGGUGACCUGCCUUCGAGUGGGGGAUAACGUCCCGAAAGGGACGCUAAUACCGCAUGACAUCCUGCUUUUGAAAAAGCGGAGAUCAAAGCUGGGGAUCGCAAGACCUAGCGCUUGAAGAGGGGCCCGCGCCUGAUUAGCUAGUUGGUGAGGUAACGGCUCACCAAGGCGACGAUCAGUAUCCGGCCUGAGAGGGCGGACGGACACACUGGGACUGAGACACGGCCCAGACUCCUACGGGAGGCAGCAGUGGGGAAUUGUUCACAAUGGGCGCAAGCCUGACGACGCAACGCCGCGUGGAGGACGAAGAUCUUCGGGUCGUAAACUCCUGUCGAGCGGGACGAACGCUUCGCGGAUGAAUAAUCCGCGGAAUUGACGGUACCGCUAAAGGAAGCCCCGGCUAACUCCGUG
Molecule: ribosomal RNA, 500 nt
Filed under: uncultured bacterium
Lineage: Bacteria
Description: partial 16S ribosomal RNA
Rfam family: Bacterial small subunit ribosomal RNA
Source: RNAcentral